GACAAGUAAACAUGCCAAAGGCGCACCAACUCCAGAGCCUUUUUUUCAUUUUUUGUCUUGGCCCGCGGUUUUCAAAUUUCCACCUUCCCACUGGAUAAAGUUCAAGAAUUCUCUCAAUACUUUCUCCCUCUACGUACACAUUCAAAUUACGAUCACCUCCUUCGAUCAUAUUCUAAAGCUUCCACCGCCGGCAAAUCGACCAUAUUUUCUGGAACGAAAAGUGGGGAUGAAGACGACGAGUUUGUGGAGACCCAGUACUACAAAGAGUUGGAAUCCAUUGAUAAACAGCAUCGCACGGUUCGGUUAAUUAUUCCUUUUCUUUGCUUGUUGAAUUUGUAUAUGUUGGCAUAAAUACUUAUUAAAUUGGGGGUUUCUGGUUUCUUGUACUGAACAGACAGGAAAUGGUUUUAUAAAAAGGGACAUGGAAAAGAGCGGAAAUGAAGAGCAUUUUCAAUUACGAGGAAGCCAUGGCACUAAUGGAGGAUUUAAACAGACAAUUUUCAAAACUAACCCAGCAACAAAUGAUUGGAUUCCAAGCUUCGAAGAUCAUCAGGUGAUUUAAUUAUUAAUUCGGUGAUCACUUAUGCUAAUAAAAGUUGAUUUGAGAUUAGUGCAUUGGCUAUUUUAAUCAGGUUGAAUAUAUUUCGUCGAAGCCAAAUCGGAGCGAGAGUUGUUAGGUCGCCGGCAGUAAGAGAGAUUAUCAUGCCAUGGACUUAUCUUAUUUUAAUCUUGUAUUAUUGGAAAGAGAAAUUAGCCAUUUGGUGAGAAUAAAAUAUAUGGAAUUAUUGAGUAUUCCCCAAACGGGUGUUUGGAAGACAUU
This 820-nucleotide long non-coding RNA is filed under the name Olea europaea subsp. europaea. The record is from RNAcentral. Lineage: Eukaryota; Viridiplantae; Streptophyta; Magnoliopsida; Lamiales; Oleaceae.